RNAcentral lists this ribosomal RNA (443 nucleotides) under uncultured bacterium. RNAcentral describes it as "partial 16S ribosomal RNA". It matches the Rfam family "Bacterial small subunit ribosomal RNA", at positions 338 to 795 of the family's 1533-position model. The record is from RNAcentral.
CCUACGGGUGGCAGCAGUGGGGAAUAUUGGGCAAUGGAGGCAACUCUGACCCAGCAAUGCAGCGUGAGUGAUGAAGGUCAUUUUAUUGUAAAGCUCUUUUCUUUGGAACGAAUAAAUGACGGUACCAAAGGCAUAAGCCCCGGCUAACUACGUGCCAGCAGCCGCGGUAAUACGUAGGGGGCAAGCGUAGUGCGGAAUGACUGGGCGUAAAGGGUGUGUAGGGGGUUUGAUAAGUUAGAUGUGUAAUACCCAGGGCUUAACUCGGGUGCUGCAUCUAAAACUGUUAGACUUGAGUGCUGGAGGGGAGAGUGGAAUUCCUAGUGUAGCGGUGGAAUGCUUAGAUAUUAGGAGGAACAUCGGUGGCGAAGGCGACUAUCUGGAGAGCAACUGACACUGAGGCACGAAAGCGUGGGGAGCAAACAGGAUUAGAUACCCGAGUAGUC